AUUGAACGCUGGCGGCAUGCUUUACACAUGCAAGUCGAACGGUAACAGGUUAAGCUGACGAGUGGCGAACGGGUGAGUAAUGCAUCGGAACGUGCCCGGUCGUGGGGGAUAACGCAGCGAAAGCUGCGCUAAUACCGCAUACGAUCUGAGGAUGAAAGCGGGGGACCGUAAGGCCUCGCGCGAUCGGAGCGGCCGAUGUCAGAUUAGGUAGUUGGUGGGGUAAAGGCCUACCAAGCCGACGAUCCGUAGCUGGUCUGAGAGGACGACCAGCCACACUGGGACUGAGACACGGCCCAGACUCCGACGGGAGGCAGCAGUGGGGAAUUUUGGACAAUGGGCGCAAGCCGGAUCCAGCAAUGCCGCGUGCAGGAAGAAGGCCUUCGGGUUGUAAACUGCUUUUGUACGGAGCGAAAAGGCUCUCUCUAAUACAGGGGGCUCAUGACGGUACCGUAAGAAUAAGCACCGGCUAACUACGUGCCAGCCGCCGCUGUAA
Molecule: ribosomal RNA, 493 nt
Filed under: uncultured bacterium
Lineage: Bacteria
Description: partial 16S ribosomal RNA
Rfam family: Bacterial small subunit ribosomal RNA
Source: RNAcentral